UUCCACCAGCCAGUGUGCCUUGCGCCGGCGGUACGUGCGGACGUGUCGGGCGAGGCUUGUAGCACGCCUUAGGCUCCCUUCCUCUUGCUGGUGCUGGAAUAGUUUACCAAUGCUUCAUAUCAUAUUUCCCAUAAGAGUUGUUGUAUUAGUUACUGAAGCAAGACGUGGAGAGGUGACAUUGAUCUUAGCUCUGACACUAUGAUCUCUGGGAGCCACGAGUACCUAACACAAAGAUGACAUAACCUGCCAGUGUAGUGAAGUAUAGACCAGGAGUGGAUAGUCUCUCUCUUGGUGAACACACGCACAAAAUACACAGUAGUAUUAUCUGUAGAGAGAAGGAGACAAAUAAUGGCCAGGCAGUGUCUUCUUGCUGAUGAGAGAUAGAGAGAGAUACCCGUCAGCAAAUUUACUUUCAGAGUUUAUUGAAGGACUGAAGAGAAUCGAUGAGACACCUUAUUGAGGGGUCAUAGAGACUCUUAGUGUAGUAGGUGUUGAGGUAAAGGAAACGGUAGAACAGUGUGUCUUACGGCAGGAGAGACAGAGUGAUCGUCUUCCGUUUCUAAGGACAGGAGACACCUUAGAUUAUACAGUAUCUCAACAUCUUGAUCGAGAGAAGAGAUAGAGAGACAUCGGCGAGUCUCUCCACGAAUAGAACAAAUAUCUUGGGCCAUCUUUCAUCUCUCUAAGGACAGAAGACCUCAAGAGACCGUCUCAGAGGUCAGGAGAGAGAGACAGAGGUACUGUAUCUCCCUCUCGAGCAGGACAGAGCUGAGGCCUCCCUCCCUCCCCCCGGAUCCUCCACACCCAGACAAGUAGACAAACAAUGCGUCUAUCUUGCUUGGUGUUGACUGUCCUCCACAACCUACUGUCAACCGUGCCCUCCACCUACACCCAGGACGACCGCAUGUGGUCAGUGACAGGGGUAACAGGCCGCUCCACAGACCUGCCGUGUUACCUUAACCCGCGCACUCCUGGGGACAGACCCAAGCUGAUCCUCUGGUACAAGAAGGACGUGAGAACCCCGGUAUUCAGCCACGACGGUCGGGUACCCCAGAUGCGGUCAGACAUCCGGCAGAACGAAGGUAGUUUGACCGUAAGCAGAGGAGCAGCUACCCUCACCCUCCACAACCUGACGGUCACACAGGCGGACGUAUAUGAGUGUAGGGUUGAUUUCUUCAAGUCUCCUACACACACUAACUUCGUGAACCUUACGAUAAUUGAGCCGCCACACAGCUUGGAGGUGCGGGACAGUGAGGGAGGGAUGGCGAGAGGGGGGAUCCUUGGACCAUACCGUGAGGGCGUCUCUGUAACCUUCGUCUGUACCGCCAAGUG
This 1332-nucleotide long non-coding RNA is filed under the name Homarus americanus (American lobster). Its description in RNAcentral is "uncharacterized LOC121864058, transcript variant X2". Lineage: Eukaryota; Metazoa; Arthropoda; Malacostraca; Decapoda; Nephropidae. The record is from RNAcentral.